Molecule: long non-coding RNA, 172 nt
Organism: Lotus japonicus
Lineage: Eukaryota; Viridiplantae; Streptophyta; Magnoliopsida; Fabales; Fabaceae
Exons: 3
Source: RefSeq, a predicted model, not a curated record
UUUUACCAUUUUGCAGACGAUGAGAGAGGAGUGGAUGGCUUGCCAACUGAAGGUGUAGAAAUUACACAUUUUAAUCUGGAAGGUGCUCGCUACAUGAUUUACACACCAUCAGAUCCACUUCUUUUUGUCGCUUUGAAGGAUGAGAACGGGAUAUUGCAAAUUGCUGAUGAUG